CCGGAGUUUUGUUUUCAAAUCAAAGUUUGUAACUUUAUUAUAAAUAUAUGCAGCAAUGUGAGCAGCUAAACUGCUCAGUGCCAGAGCGGUGAAUUGGUGGAGACCUAAAAAACUACAAAAUUCAAACCAGUCUGCAGUUGAGCCCCACUGAGGAGCAAAAUCCAUGUCCAGAGCUAUUAAAAAUAAAAAUAAAAAUUAGACAGCCAACUCUACACCGACAACAAAUUAAUAAACUCAAAAUAAACAUAUCAGGAGGCAUUUCAUGCGUUUCUUGUCCACAAAAACAUAUAUAUAUAUAUAUAUAUUAAGUACCUGAAAUUGAUAUAAAUCCAUGGCCUCGAGCUGGGUCUCUCUCCGCCAUCCUCUGUUUUCUUUCUGAUUCACCCAUGGCAAAUUGGCAAUGGCAUUGCGAGUUGCGACACUCUGCCUUCUGUGAAUCGCUCUCGUGCUUUGCUUCUUCUAGUAAGUAAUUAUUAAUUCUCAGCCUCUAGCGAACCCGAAUUUCCAUAUCAUAUCAAAGGCAGGCACUGUUUGCUUUAACGGCGCGAAAAGUGAAAGUCUGGUUUUGGGUCUUUGCCACCAGAAGCAUUGACGACCGCGCCAAAUGGGAAGCAAAUUCCAA
Molecule: long non-coding RNA, 622 nt
Filed under: Prunus persica (peach)
Lineage: Eukaryota; Viridiplantae; Streptophyta; Magnoliopsida; Rosales; Rosaceae
Description: long non-coding RNA (PPER_LNC007510)
Source: RNAcentral